GUGCAGUGGUGAUAAGAGUUUGAGCUGAAUGAACAAGUGUGACGUAACUAUAUGAUAAGCAGACAUGUGUGCUAAUCUAGAAGUAAGAAGGUAAAGCAGCCAGGAACAGUAUAAAAACUUGAGGCUCACGGCCAGAAGACAUUCUCAAAAUGACUUGCUAGACAUGCUGUCAGAGCAGUCAUAGAGAAUCCAAUGAACCAGCAACUUGACAGCUGAGACCUUCCAAGAGCCAGAGAACUAGCUCUUGCCUGCGGAUCAAGACUUGCUGAUCCAGAGGUCUACGUCGAAAGUCAUGAACCAUUAUCAGGAUACUUUUGUCUAGAUAUGACAGCACUGUGGAUAGUUUGUUCAUUUCCUAAUACUGUGGACAUCAUCAAAGACUUGCUGAACUUGCCUUAAUUUUUUUCUAAGGACACAUGAACUUCAUAAAAAGAACUCAUGGAAUUGAGCAGGAUGUGACCUGAAAGCCUUCCCUCUGAGGACCAGCUUUUACAGUAGUGGAAACUGCAUUGCAAGAUUUCAAGGGAGGAAAGAAGCAAUAGUAUUACCCAGCUGUGAAGUCUAUGAACCACAACAAUAAUGCCCAGCAUGGCAAGCUGUACCUAAAAGUGCAAUAAUGGCAUUGAUAGCUUGAAAAUAGCCAACAGCUGUUUAAUAGCACAUACUACCUGCUCAACAGGAGAGAAAUUGUGCCUGGUACUGGAAACUUAAUCAAAUACCCAGUACUAGUGAUUUCAUGGAUCAUAGAGGAGAAUCUACCACUAUCAGUUUACUAAACCAGCAUGAUUCUUAACUUCAUACUAAAUAUUUAUCCUUAUAUCCACAGGUAUAUUUCCCAACCCUCAUGAAAAAAAAUGUUUCUCUCUGCAACAGAUUGAGACAAUCACAAAACAACAACAAUAAAUCCUCCACUACUGUUCAAAAUAUAGAGAAAAUGGAUUAUGGGGAACCCAUCACCAGGGGAUACAACUAGAAACCAAUCCCUAUAGCUAAGAGUCAGAAGACUAGGAAAUCUGUAAGAGGGUAUCUCCUAGAAAUGCCAGGGAAACUCUAUCAGUAAGCGCUCAAAAUUAUGGCUGCCUAAACAAUGACUGAACAAGGACAGCAUGGAUAUACAUCAUGGAUAUUCAAACAUGGAAGGGGAAAAGCUAACAGAGACCUACCCCAUGAGCUACAGGCAGCUAAAAGGCACUGAAAGUAGAAGGAGUAGUCUUCCCACUUUGAGGAAUAUUUGAGUUGGUUAUCCAAAACCAAGUUUCAGUCCUGAAAUCAUAACAUUCAACAUUAAAUGGACUCAGAAGGGUAUACCAAUAUAUCUAUGCACAUAUAUAUAUAUAGUAUGUACAUAGAUUGCAUAUAUUUGUAUGUAUGUAUAAUAAAUAAGAGAAGACCAUGAGUUUGAAAGGGGUUGGGGCAUAAAAAUUCUAGUAAGGAAAGGGAAC
This is a non-coding RNA of Myodes glareolus (Bank vole), 1442 nucleotides long. The record is from RefSeq and is a predicted model, not a curated record. Lineage: Eukaryota; Metazoa; Chordata; Mammalia; Rodentia; Cricetidae.